CGCUUUUGCUCAGCAAGCAUGUUUUGUUUUGUGUAAUGAUUUCAUUAGUCUAGAUCAGUGGUUCUUUUUUAUUUUACUAUAAAAUAAAUUCCUGAAAUGGAUUUAUUUCCUGAACAUUUUUUGUUUUUUUUUUUUUUGCAUUUGUUAAUUUUUUUUUUUUUUUCAGGGCUAACUAUUCCUGAACUUUCCAUGGAUAGAACACAUUAGGACUGAGUUUACUUUGGUGCUUUGAUAAUGCGGGUUGUGAUUUCCGACACUCUAACCAAAUGAAAAUAUAUAAAAGCACUGAGCCGGGAUUGUGCUUAACAGACCCCAGUUUGAGACGCACUGGUCUAGAUAAAAUGACCUGGAGCAGCAGUCAGAAAUGAGACUGGUCCUCAUUACCAUCAUGCAAAUAUUUCAGUCAAGUUUACUUAAAUGAUGCCGUGGGGCGCCUGGAGCCUAUCCCAGGAAACUCAGAACACAAGGCAGGGGACACCCUGGAUGGAUUACAGAGCACAAUCACACAUGCACUACGGACAAUUUAGAGAUGCCAAUCAACAUACAACGCAUGUCUUUGGACUGAGGGAGGAAACCGGAAUACCUGGAGGAAACCCCCAAAGCAUGGGAAGAACUUGCAAACUCUGCGCACACAAGGCGGAGGUGGGAAUCAAACCCCCAACCACGGAGAUCAGAGGUUCUUUGCCCGAAGGAAUCCCUGUCUUACACAGUUUAAAGUUUUCUCUACUGCUGACCAAUGUUCCUCCAUGUGGCUCAAUGUGGCUUUCAUAAAAUAAGAAAAGCUUGAUGCUGUUAUGAGAGUCAAGUGCAGGGGUGGGCAAUCUU
Molecule: long non-coding RNA, 825 nt
Organism: Ictalurus punctatus (channel catfish)
Lineage: Eukaryota; Metazoa; Chordata; Actinopteri; Siluriformes; Ictaluridae
Source: Ensembl